This 100-nucleotide transfer RNA is filed under the name Acetobacter orleanensis. RNAcentral describes it as "tRNA-Pro". Lineage: Bacteria; Pseudomonadati; Pseudomonadota; Alphaproteobacteria; Acetobacterales; Acetobacteraceae. The record is from RNAcentral.
CGUCUCCUGAUCGGGGUGGGCCUGCUGUCCGCAGUCUGGGGUGCGGCGGAUAGGUGUGACGCCGCGCAGGUCGCGCCGGUUCUAGCGCCGACCGAGAUGA